CCUCUCAAAGUCCGGACUGGUCGCCAGCCUCCACCUCUUACAGUUAGGACUACUUGUUUAACUUAACACAACGUUCUUCCAUCGCACAUUCUGACACUCUGACGGGAGGAAACUGGAGUACCUGGAGAAAACCCACACGUGCAAGGGGAGAACAUGCAAACGCCACACAGAGAUGCCCAACGGAAACACGAAGCCAGAUCUUCCAGAUCUCCUGGCUGUGUGGCCAACAUGCAAACCACUAUGUGGACAGGGCCUUAAUCACAAAUAGUUCAGCUACAAAGAUUCUUUAGGAAGAACUCCCCUGUCGAGUGGAAAGAUGACAACCGAGGAUCGAACCAACGGCCCACUGGCAGUGUAGAGAAAGCCCAUGUCCACCCCAACUUUCUCCCAGUGUGCAAACUUCUCUGGAGUGACGUAUUCCUCCACCUAAGCGCACACACACUAUUGUCAGAGUCUGCAACAUUAUGUAUGUCAAAUCUGAUCUGAGGUUACCUUCAGGUGGCGUUUAGUGGGUUGCAUGUACUGUCCCAAUGUGAGACAGUCCACUCCGGCCUCACGUAGUGCUACAACAUCACCACAAUACAUCAAUACUAAGUCACACCAAAGGGGACACCGCACACUGUACAUUGUGAGCUCACAUACUGGUCAGUGUAUUGUGUAUUUGUUGGUCAGUCUCUCCCAGUCCCAGCAUGAUGGACGUCUUGGUGAGCACAGAAGGACGGACCUUUUUAGCGUGCUUCAGGACGCUCAAAGACUGGUCAAAGUUGGCUCGAGGGUCUCGUACAUGCCUGGAAACAACACUAAGAUCAGUGACUACUCACAUGUUCUUCUGGAUGAGUGGAGACAAAUUCCUCUCGCGGACUGUCUCUACGUUGUGGGCGUACACGUCUAGACCUGACAGGGCGAUCUUCUCUACUGCUGCAAGGUCGCCCCGAAAAUCUGGUGUCAGACAUUCAACCAGGAUGAGAGGAUUCCUGUGUGAAGUGUUGUAUGGAGCAGAAUCACGCUUUUGGGACUUGUGCCACAGUGGAAGUUACUUUGGCUGUAAUUCAACUUCCCAUAAAUCUGAAUCAACAGCGCCUCUGCUGGUUGCAGCCAGGUAGUGCACUCAACUCAUUUUGACACUUGGGUAUAAAGACCCUGGGACUUUUUAAUAGCCAAUAAAUACAUGUUUACAGUGAUGAUUAGGGCUGAAGCUAAUUAAAACAUUUACACUUUGAAAGUAGUAAAAAAAAAACAACUAGACUUUUUUAGCAUAUUUUCUGAAGGAACUCAAAGGGUCUGGAAUGUGGUCAAAAAAUAAUGCAUCAAAAUCAAUGAUCUAUGUAAUAAUCUAUUCAGAUAUACAAGGCUCUAAUAACUUAAUUCCAAUCUGCACUUCAUAAUUUAUAGUUUGUGUUUCUUGU
This is a long non-coding RNA of Dunckerocampus dactyliophorus (ringed pipefish), 1406 nucleotides long. RefSeq lists it as uncharacterized. The record is from RefSeq and is a predicted model, not a curated record. NCBI's taxonomy places the organism in Eukaryota, Metazoa, Chordata, Actinopteri, Syngnathiformes, Syngnathidae. The transcript is spliced from 6 exons.